CUAGCACUAAAAUCGCUGAUUAAAACUUAAAGAGCAUGGCGGUCACAAAAAAGUUCAGGGGAACUUACCAAGUAAUAGACAACCCACAAGUUACCUUUCUUAUUUUACAGUUUGUAUACCGCCGUCUAAGUAUUACUUAUGGUAGUGCUAAAAUAGAUUACUAGAAGGACAGGUCAUGGUGCAGCUAAUAGAUAAGUUUAGGCGAGUUACAAUAAAAAAUUUUUUUUCAAAAAAUUUUAAACUAUUUUGUGAAGUGGACUUGAAAGUAAUAUUUAAAAUAAAUAUAAUCUGAAUACUUAUUUUGUGGUGC
Molecule: ribosomal RNA, 310 nt
Filed under: Paromoionchis goslineri
Lineage: Eukaryota; Metazoa; Mollusca; Gastropoda; Systellommatophora; Onchidiidae
Description: partial 12S ribosomal RNA
Source: RNAcentral